Molecule: ribosomal RNA, 422 nt
Filed under: uncultured cyanobacterium
Lineage: Bacteria; Bacillati; Cyanobacteriota
Description: bacterial SSU rRNA
Rfam family: Bacterial small subunit ribosomal RNA
Source: RNAcentral
GGAAUUUUCCGCAAUGGGCGAAAGCCUGACGGAGCAACGCCGCGUGAGGGAUGAAGGCCUCUGGGCUGUAAACCUCUUUUCUCAAGGAAGAAGAUCUGACGGUACUUGAGGAAUAAGCCACGGCUAAUUCCGUGCCAGCAGCCGCGGUAAUACGGGAGUGGCAAGCGUUAUCCGGAAUUAUUGGGCGUAAAGCGUCCGCAGGCGGCCCUUCAAGUCUGCUGUUAAAAAGUGGAGCUUAACUCCAUCAUGGCAGUGGAAACUGUUGGGCUUGAGUGUGGUAGGGGCAGAGGGAAUUCCCGGUGUAGCGGUGAAAUGCGUAGAUAUCGGGAAGAACACCAGUGGCGAAGGCGCUCUGCUGGGCCAUCACUGACGCUCAUGGACGAAAGCCAGGGGAGCGAAAGGGAUUAGAUACCCCAGUAGUC